This 400-nucleotide ribosomal RNA is filed under the name uncultured bacterium. RNAcentral's name for it is "bacterial SSU rRNA". It matches the Rfam family "Bacterial small subunit ribosomal RNA", at positions 355 to 772 of the family's 1533-position model. The record is from RNAcentral.
UGGGGAAUAUUGGACAAUGGGCGAAAGCCUGAUCCAGCAAUGCCGCGUGAGUGAUGAAGGCCUUAGGGUUGUAAAGCUCUUUUACCCGGGAUGAUAAUGACAGUACCGGGAGAAUAAGCCCCGGCUAACUCUGUGCCAGCAGCCGCGGUAAUACAGAGGGGGCAAGCGUUAUUCGGAAUUAUUGGGCGUAAAGGGCGCGUAGGCGGCUUUUCAAGUGACGGGUGAAAUCCCUCGGCUUAACCGAGGAACUGCCUGUCAGACUGGAAGGCUUGAGACCGGGAGAGGUGAGUGGAAUUCCCAGUGUAGCGGUGAAAUGCGUAGAUAUUGGGAGGAACACCAGUGGCGAAGGCGGCUCACUGGACCGGAACUGACGCUGAGGCGCGAAAGCGUGGGGAGCAAA